GUGAUCAUGGCUCAGGAUGAACGCUGGCGGCGUGCUUAACACAUGCAAGUCGAACGAAGCACUUCAUAAAGCUUGCUUUAAGAAGUGACUUAGUGGCGGACGGGUGAGUAACGCGUGGGUAACCUGCCUUACACAGGGGGAUAACAGUUAGAAAUGACUGCUAAUACCGCAUAAAACAGCAGAGUCGCAUGACUCAACUGUCAAAGAUUUAUCGGUGUAAGAUGGACCCGCGU
RNAcentral lists this ribosomal RNA (233 nucleotides) under uncultured bacterium. Its description in RNAcentral is "partial 16S ribosomal RNA". It matches the Rfam family "Bacterial small subunit ribosomal RNA", at positions 13 to 236 of the family's 1533-position model. The record is from RNAcentral.